RNAcentral lists this ribosomal RNA (500 nucleotides) under uncultured bacterium. RNAcentral describes it as "partial 16S ribosomal RNA". It matches the Rfam family "Bacterial small subunit ribosomal RNA", at positions 30 to 523 of the family's 1533-position model. The record is from RNAcentral.
AUUGAACGCUGGCGGCAUGCCUUACACAUGCAAGUCGAACGGCAGCACGGGAGCAAUCCUGGUGGCGAGUGGCGAACGGGUGAGUAAAGUAUCGGAACGUGCCCAGUCGUGGGGGAUAACGUAGCGAAAGUUACGCUAAUACCGCAUACGAUCUAUGGAUGAAAGCGGGGGAUCGCAAGACCUCGCGCGAUUGGAGCGGCCGAUAUCAGAUUAGAUAGUUGGUGGGGUAAAGGCUCACCAAGCCGACGAUCUGUAGCUGGUCUGAGAGGACGACCAGCCACACUGGGACUGAGACACGGCCCAGACUCCUACGGGAGGCAGCAGUGGGGAAUUUUGGACAAUGGGCGAAAGCCUGAUCCAGCCAUGCCGCGUGCAGGAUGAAGGCCUUCGGGUUGUAAGCUGCUUUUGUACGGAACGAAAAGGUUUGGCCUAAUAAGCUGAGCUCAUGACGGUACCGUAAGAAUAAGCACCGGCUAACUACGUGCCAGCAGCCGCCGUAA